This is a long non-coding RNA of Oncorhynchus gorbuscha (pink salmon), 2684 nucleotides long. RefSeq lists it as uncharacterized. Lineage: Eukaryota; Metazoa; Chordata; Actinopteri; Salmoniformes; Salmonidae. The transcript is spliced from 3 exons. The record is from RefSeq and is a predicted model, not a curated record.
GAGGCAGCUGCUGUCUGCACUUUUUCUCAGAGUUGUAAAAGCAAGCAGAGAUGAAAUGGGCUACUCUUUAGUUGACUGAUGUAGCUAGCAAGGUAACUGCUGUUUGACAGAUAAAUAAAUAUUUACUCCCAGUGCUGAUGUACUACUAAUGUAACCGACUAAAGUUAGCUAGCUAGCUAGCUCGCUCACUGACUUUAGCUAUUAUUUUUGACUCAAUUACACUAGACCUGAAUCAAACGAUGAAACCAGCAGCCAAAUGAUUGAAGACCGAUAUUCUGACGUUUUUCUGCGUUUUUCUUAGUCAGUAUAGCAAUGUAACGUUAUCAAUCUGUCAGUUUCCUCACAGCUAACUCCCUACUUUUCACACAGACAUGGUAUAAACAGCUCUACAGGCAUCACUUUCAUAGUGCACAGUCAGUACGCAACACUAUGCUCAUUAUGUCUUAGCAGGGUCAGACAGCCAGGGAAGACCACUCUACAGAGCUCAGGUACAUUUUGCAGUACAUUAUAACAAUCAGUGAAUGGAUACAAAGUUCCAUCUGGAGUUGAUGGGUAGGCUACAGUCUGGGAUAAACGGUUAUUUAGAUUGUUGAACCAUUGAUUAUAUUCAUGGAUAAUAUAACGUAUAAAUGUACACCAAUGUAAUUCUUUGUCAUGUCUUAUCUGAGCAGGAUCAGAUGGUGACAGGGGUCUCAUCAGGGUCAGGCAGCCAGGGAAGACCAGUCUGGUUAUGGAGCUGAGGGGAAUUUUUGCAGAUACAACACUAUUUUCUCUGUGCAGCAAACACUGGAAAAGCAAGAAGCUUCAAACUAUUUUAAGGCAGUCUGACAAACCUCUAAAGUUGAUUUCCAAACUGUAUCAAGGGUUGAUAGAGGCUUUUCCUGAUGACACACAACAAGUAAAACAAAAAUGUGAGGAAAACCUGGGAGACAACACUGAUGAUAAUGAAUGGAUACAGAUAUGUUUGAAUGCCCAGUCAUGUUUAUAUCAUCCCAGACAUAAAUGACUGCAGUUUAAGACCAUCCAUAGAACGUACUACAUGCCAGUGAAACUGAAUAUCAUGCACACAAAUGUAACUAUUCUGCUGGAGGUGUAAAACGCAAACACGGGACAUAUUUGCAGACAGUGCAUUUGGAAAGUAUUCAGGCACCUUGACUUUUUCCACAUUUUGUUACGUUUACAGCUUUAUUCUAAAAGAGAUUCAAUUGCUUUCCCCCUUAUCCAUCUACACGCAAUACUCCAUACUGACAAAGCAAAAAAACAGUUUAAAAAAAACAUUUUUGCAAAAGAUAUAAAGUUAGCCAUGGAAAACUGCAAAUGUGUUGCUACUGCUCUCAAUAAUAUUGCUGCUAUGAAUUUAUCAGGCGCUAUUGACAAAGGUCAGUGAGAAAAAGUUGUGAUGGACUACUUUCAGGAGGACGAUUUUUGUGGCAUUGCACAUGGUCAGUGUGAACCAGAGUGACUUGACAAACGGGCCAAGCAAGCUGUACAAACAAAACGGAAACUACACAGGACAUCUUAUUUAAUGAAAGGGAUUGCAGUCUGCUGUGAAGCGUUCAUUCAUGUACACGGCACCAUUUCUUCACCAACUACGGAAUUGGAGAAACACAUGUGGAUCUGAAUUGUGAUAACUGCAUUGGUGAAAAAAACAAACAAGUUUGUGGUCUCGAGAUUGCUGGUGUUGCGAAGGACAGCACUGCGACAGGGGUCAACAUCCCAUAGCUGUUUGGACUAGAGGAUUGUAUGGUACUAGUGGAAAGCUAUGGCUGGCAACAACACCUGACUUCGUACUUCAGGCCGCUGCCGCAGAUCAAGCAGUACCAACACUUCAGGAGAAUAUCAUUUUAAUUGCAUUGUAUAAGCUUUGAUGCUCUGGAGCCUGGUGUUGUUGUUGCCAAUGAGCGUUCGGACUCAGUCGGGACCAGGUUUCAGCUCCUGCGCAACGCCGACAUCAUUCCUCCAAUAGAUGGUCUGCCUGUACAAGCACCACUUGGACUGGAAACAGCAAGACAAACUUACAUUUCUGAGAAGAUUAGGGAGUUUUGCGAUGAAGAGACUAUGGACAUCACAUGCCCUGCACCAAAGUCAAGGGCAGGAAAGAAACAGGCUCUCCGAAUAUAGAUUCCCUUGUUCAUGCGUGGUUUGAACGGACCAGUUCAUCACUGGGGUGCGAGUUCCCAGUGGCAUUGACACUUUUUCUUAUAUUUUCUUUAUAUUGACUCCAUCUAUUUUUGAUAUUGCUACUAUGCAAGUAACCAUUUACUGUACUGUUUAUACCUUCUGCAGUGACCCAUCCACUGAGCUAGAUGUGGCUGGGGGUUAUAGCAUUUCUUUCACCAAUUUAGACAAGUGUGUCUGGGUAAGAAUCAUCUAAUAUUUAUACAAUAUUUGUUAUCUGGACACUUUCUGUUUACCUGGAAUUUUUUCUUAUUGUAGGCUACAACUUUUACCACUUUUAGUCUUAAUCUUUACUACACUACUUAGUGUUUAGCACAUUACCUCACAUGUGAAUCCUUAAAGAGAUGGGUGGGUCUGGCUUUAGAGGGCGUGAACAGUGCUGAAUAGGUGUAGACAAAGCUCUCUCCAGUAGGUGUACCAAAACAUUCAAUGGCCACUUUCUCAAAAGUGGGAUUACAAGUUCAUCAACUUUCAAAGCAGAAUUACUUUCCCAUUGUUCAUCAAAU